UGCGCGUAAAUUGCCCGAAUCCUGACACAGGGAGGUAGUGACAAGAAAUAACAAUACAGGGCUACAUCUAGUCUUGUAAUUGGAAUGAGUACAAUUUACAUCUCUUCACGAGGAUCAAUUGGAGGGCAAGUCUGGUGCCAGCAGCCGCGGUAAUUCCAGCUCCAAUAGCGUAUAUUAAAGUUGUUGCAGUUAGAACGCUCGUAGUCGGAUUUCGGGGCGGGCCGACCGGUCUGCCGAUGGGUACGCACUGGCCGGCGCGUCCUUCCUUCCGGAGACCGUGCCUACUCUUAACUGAGCGGGGGCGGGAGACGGAUCGUUUACUUUGAAAAAAUCAGAGUGUUUCAAGCAGGCAGCUCGCUCUUGCAUGGAUUAGCAUGGGAUAAUGAAAUAGGACUUUGGUGCUAUUUUGUUGGUUUCGAACACCGAAGUAAUGAUUAAAAGGGACAGUC
Molecule: ribosomal RNA, 449 nt
Filed under: Chrysochromulina sp. JD-2012
Lineage: Eukaryota; Haptophyta; Prymnesiales; Chrysochromulinaceae
Description: SSU rRNA
Rfam family: Eukaryotic small subunit ribosomal RNA
Source: RNAcentral